RNAcentral lists this ribosomal RNA (853 nucleotides) under uncultured bacterium. Its description in RNAcentral is "bacterial SSU rRNA". It matches the Rfam family "Bacterial small subunit ribosomal RNA", at positions 31 to 901 of the family's 1533-position model. The record is from RNAcentral.
GAACGCUGGCGGCGUGCUUAACACAUGCAAGUCGAGCGGAAAGGCCCUUCGGGGUACUCGAGCGGCGAACGGGUGAGUAACACGUGAGUAACCUGCCCCAGACUUUGGGAUAACCCUCGGAAACGGGGGCUAAUACCGAAUAUGACUUCUGGUCGCAUGACCGGGUGUGGAAAGUUUUUCGGUUUGGGAUGGACUCGCGGCCUAUCAGCUUGUUGGUGGGGUAAUGGCCUACCAAGGCGACGACGGGUAGCCGGCCUGAGAGGGCGACCGGCCACACUGGGACUGAGACACGGCCCAGACUCCUACGGGAGGCAGCGGUGGGAAUAUUGCACAAUGGGCGGAAGCCUGAUGCAGCGACGCCGCGUGAGGGAUGACGGCCUUCGGGUUGUAAACCUCUUUCAGCAGGGACGAAGCGUAAGUGACGGUACCUGCAGAAGAAGCGCCGGCCAACUACGUGCCAGCAGCCGCGGUAAGACGUAGGGCGCGAGCGUUGUCCGGAUUUAUUGGGCGUAAAGAGCUCGUAGGCGGCUUGUCGCGUCGACUGUGAAAACUUGGGGCUCAACUCCAAGCUUGCAGUCGAUACGGGCAGGCUAGAGUUCGGUAGGGGAGACUGGAAUUCCUGGUGUAGCGGUGAAAUGCGCAGAUAUCAGGAGGAACACCGGUGGCGAAGGCGGGUCUCUGGGCCGAUACUGACGCCGAGGAGCGAAAGCGUGGGGAGCGAACAGGAUUAGAUACCCUGGUAGUCCACGCUGUAAACGUUGGGCGCUAGGUGUGGGGGGCCUCUCCGGUUUCCUGCGCCGCAGCUAACGCAUUAAGCGCCCCGCCUGGGGAGUACGGCCGCAAGGCUAAAACU